RNAcentral lists this long non-coding RNA (195 nucleotides) under Fukomys damarensis (Damara mole-rat). RNAcentral describes it as "lncRNA (ENSFDAG00000024568.1)". The record is from RNAcentral. Lineage: Eukaryota; Metazoa; Chordata; Mammalia; Rodentia; Bathyergidae.
GUGAGAUAUCAGUGUGGAAGAUAAUGUGCAACCUGCUUCAUCUAAAUAGUUUACCAACAGAAUCAUCCAUACAGAAAAUACAGAAUUCAUAGAGUUGGAUUUUCUUGGAGCUCAAGAGUUAAGUGAAUAAUUCUACGGAAGCCGGCUGAAAGGCAGAGAAUCCAUGUGAUGGCUUUUACUGCACCAUAUUCUGGU